UCAUGUCGUGCCGCCUUUUCAAAAUGGC
Molecule: non-coding RNA, 28 nt
Filed under: Bombyx mori (domestic silkworm)
Lineage: Eukaryota; Metazoa; Arthropoda; Insecta; Lepidoptera; Bombycidae
Source: RNAcentral